RNAcentral lists this unclassified non-coding RNA (378 nucleotides) under plant metagenome. Its description in RNAcentral is "partial contains 5.8S ribosomal RNA, internal transcribed spacer 2, and large subunit ribosomal RNA". The stretch from base 1 to 105 matches the Rfam family "5.8S ribosomal RNA", at positions 50 to 154 of the family's 154-position model. The record is from RNAcentral.
GAAAUGCGAUAAGUAAUGUGAAUUGCAGAAUUCAGUGAAUCAUCGAAUCUUUGAACGCACCUUGCGCUCCUUGGUAUUCCUUGGAGCAUGCCUGUUUGAGUAUCAUGAAAUCUUCAAAGUAAAUCUUUUGUUAACUCAAUUGGUUUCUACUUUGGUAUUGGAGGUCUUUGCAGCUUCACACCUGCUCCUCUUUGUUCAUUAGCUGGAUCUCAGUGUUAUGCUUGGUUCCACUCGGCGUGAUAAGUUAUCUAUCGCUGAGGACACUGUAAAAGGUGGCCAAGGUAAAUGCAGAUGAACCGCUUCUAAUAAUCCAUGGACUUGGACAAUACUUUUAUGAUCUGAUCUCAAAUCAGGUAGGACUACCCGCUGAACUUAAGC